RNAcentral lists this transfer-messenger RNA (347 nucleotides) under Clostridiales bacterium. It matches the Rfam family "transfer-messenger RNA". From Rfam's summary of the family: Bacterial tmRNA, also known as 10Sa RNA or SsrA, is named for its dual tRNA and mRNA-like properties. Lineage: Bacteria; Bacillati; Bacillota; Clostridia; Eubacteriales. The record is from RNAcentral. RNAcentral also lists the same sequence under 2 other names.
GGGGAUGAAAGGAUUUCGACGGGGGCUUUGAAUCACGAUAAGCGAGUAGCGGUGCGGACCCGCUUUAAACGCCGUAGUUUAGAAAUAAACGACAACGAAAAAGUUUUACUCGCUGCUUAAUUAAGCAGCCGUUCUCCCAAGGAGUACUGCGGCCUUGGAUUGAGCGUCGAUUAGCAGUAACCGUGAAUAUGGCUUUGCCUUGCGCCGUAUCAUGACUAAAAGGCUACCGUAAAAAACAGUUUGUUGCUCAACGGUUUUUGAGGGGAAUCUUAAAUGAACAACUACACUCGUAGAAAGUUGUGUGGAUGAGCUUUCGGACGCGGUUUCGAUUACCGCCAUCUCCACCA